UGGACGUGGAGAGAGGUGGAGGAGAGGAGGAGGAGGGGGGAGUGUGGGAAGUGGCUGGGAAUGAAAAAGUGGAGAAGAAAAAUGGUAGUAAGAGAGUCUGGAUGGGGUUAGAGGUGGCGGCAGUAACAUUUUUUCUUUGGAUAAUGGUAUGUAUAGGGUACCCAUAAAAUUUGAACCACCUUAAUUGUCCCAAAUCCAAUUAAAAUUCACCCUCUACUACCCUU
This 224-nucleotide unclassified non-coding RNA is filed under the name Hevea brasiliensis (rubber tree). The record is from RNAcentral. Lineage: Eukaryota; Viridiplantae; Streptophyta; Magnoliopsida; Malpighiales; Euphorbiaceae.